CGAAGUAAAACAAAUGACCGCCGCCCAUGUCAUAAAGACAGGGGGGAGGAAAGUCCGGGCUCCACAGGACAAAGCGCUGGGUAACGCCCAGUCCCGGUGACGGGAAGGACAGUGCAACAGAAAGGAAACCGCCUCUUAUGAGGGCACUCAGGUGUUCUAAAGAGGUAAGGGUGAAAGGGUGAGGUAAGAGCUCACCAGUUCCGCCGGUGACGGCGGAGGCUUUGUAAACCCCGCAUGGAGCAAGACCAAAUAGGGGGACGUUAAGGGUGGUCCGCUCAUGUUCCCGGGUAGGUCGCUUGAUCUCGUCGGUAACGGCGAGACUAGAUGAAUGGUCAUUGUUCCGAAAGCGGGUGACCCUUUCGGAAAACAAAACCCGGCUUAUGGAUUGCUUCGACAU
Molecule: RNase P RNA, 397 nt
Filed under: Desulfobacteraceae bacterium 4572_87
Lineage: Bacteria; Pseudomonadati; Thermodesulfobacteriota; Desulfobacteria; Desulfobacterales; Desulfobacteraceae
Description: RNase P RNA component class A
Rfam family: Bacterial RNase P class A
About the family: Ribonuclease P (RNase P) is a ubiquitous endoribonuclease, found in archaea, bacteria and eukarya as well as chloroplasts and mitochondria. Its best characterised activity is the generation of mature 5'-ends of tRNAs by cleaving the 5'-leader elements of precursor-tRNAs.
Source: RNAcentral